This 88-nucleotide non-coding RNA is filed under the name human gut metagenome. RNAcentral's name for it is "Glycine riboswitch". It matches the Rfam family "Glycine riboswitch aptamer", at positions 9 to 86 of the family's 94-position model. From Rfam's summary of the family: This family represents the bacterial glycine riboswitch. Glycine riboswitches usually consist of two metabolite-binding aptamers domains with similar structures in tandem. The record is from RNAcentral.
CCUCUGGAGAAUCCCGGCAGCCCGGGUGCCGAAGGGGCAAGUCGGCGCAGACGCGCGGCGAAACUCUCAGGCAAAAGGACAGAGCGAU